RNAcentral lists this ribosomal RNA (500 nucleotides) under uncultured bacterium. RNAcentral's name for it is "partial 16S ribosomal RNA". It matches the Rfam family "Bacterial small subunit ribosomal RNA", at positions 28 to 523 of the family's 1533-position model. The record is from RNAcentral.
GAUUAACGCUAGCGGCAGGCAUAAUACAUGCAAGUUGAACGAGAUAAGUUUUAGCAAUAGAACUUUGAAAGUGGCGCACGGGUGCGUAACACGUAUGCAACCUACCUUUUACCGGGGAAUAGCCUCUCGAAAGAGAGAUUAAUACCCCAUAAUAUAUUGAUAAGGCAUCUUAUUAAUAUUAAAGUUACGGCGGUAAAAGAUGGGCAUGCGGCUGAUUAGGUAGUUGGUGAGGUAAUGGCUCACCAAGCCGACGAUCAGUAGGGGGUCUGAGAGGAUGUCCCCCCACACUGGUACUGAGACACGGACCAGACUCCUACGGGAGGCAGCAGUAGGGAAUAUUGGACAAUGGGCGCAAGCCUGAUCCAGCCAUGCCGCGUGCAGGAUGAAGGCCCUAUGGGUCGUAAACUGCUUUUGUACGGGAAGAAACCUCACUACGUGUAGUGAGUUGACGGUACCGUGAGAAUAAGGAUCGGCUAACUUCGUGCCAGCAGCCGCAGUAA